Molecule: long non-coding RNA, 2094 nt
Filed under: Rattus norvegicus (Norway rat)
Lineage: Eukaryota; Metazoa; Chordata; Mammalia; Rodentia; Muridae
Description: long non-coding RNA NONRATT021034
Source: RNAcentral
UCGUCUCUGUCUUAUCUUGACUGUAAAGCCAGAGACACAUGGCUGAAGCUGCCAGGGUCUGCUGCUUGCAGGAGCUGGAGCAUGGCCCCUCGUUCUAUUGCAUUAUCACCAGCUUCCUUUUCUCCAUUCACUGCCUAAGCUUGGCUGCCCUGGAACUUGCUCUGUAGGCUGACUUUGAACUCAGAGAUCUGCAUGGCUGUCUCCUGAGCACUGGAAUUAAAGGUGUAGGCCCCCAAGCCUGGCUCUAAAUUUACCUGGAUGGGAUCUUGCCCCCAAGGUUAUUACUCCCUUAAUUCAAUUUACUAUCCUUGAACACAGGAUUCAUCUCCAGUUCACUUCCUGAGGUCCCUUUAAUACUCGAAACAUAUAUUUUAUAUUUUUCUUUCCUCAGCUUCCCUUUUUUCAUUAAGAUGCUCUCCAUAAGAGUGAACUUUAGUAACCACACAACAGAAUUUGCACCAGGCUGUUUUGAGACUUUCUAUUUCAAAGCAAUUAAUCUAAAUCUCUUCACCUUAGCCUAAAGCAGAAUCUUCGGACAAUGGCAAAAAGCAGCCACAUUUUCCCCAAAAUACCACAAAACAGUCUCUAGGCCACAUUCUGGAAUUCUUCACCUCUGAAACUUCUUGGGCCUGGUCCGCAGAGUUCAAAUUACUCUCAGCAACAGAGUCUUCCCUAUCCCUACUAGGAGAGCUCAUUUAAGCCCCAUUUCAAGCAUUCCGCUGCUUUCCAAAUCCAAAGUCCCAAAAUCCACAUUCUUUUGAACAAAAGCAUGGUCAGGCCUCUCACAGCAAUACCCCACUCCGAGUACUAACUUCUGUCUUAGUUAGGGUUUUGCUGCUGUGAACAGACAACAUGACCAAGGCAACUCUUAUAAGGACAACAUUUAAUUGGGGCUGGGUUACGGGUUCAGAGGUUCAGUCCAGUAUCAUCAAGGCGGGAACAUGGCAGCAUCCAGGCAGGCAUAGUGCAGGCAGAGCUAAGAACUCUACAUCUUCAUCUGAAGGCUGCUAGUGGAGGACUGACUUCCAGGCAGCUAGAAUGAGGGUCUUAAGGCCCACACCCACAGUGACACACCCACUUCAACAUGGCCACAUCUUCUAAUAGUGCCACUCCCUGGGCCAAGCAUAUAUAAACCACAACAGGUACAGAGCUCUUCUGCCUACAAAUCUGCCUUCCGUGAUGGGAACCCCUGCAUUCCCAUUUAUCACCACGGGCUUUACCAAAUGCCCACACUCUGGGGCCAGGCUGGCUGCUAGGGCAAUCCACAGGCCUGGUUCUCUAGGAGCCUCAGAUUCACACAGGAACUAAAUCCCUGUGAGGAUCACAGAGUGUCACACAGCCAUGGGGACUAUGCCGAGAAACCAGAAAGGACAUGUUUUUGCGGGCUGGUGGUCCCUGCAUGACUGUCAGUUAGACACUGCCCUGGAGAAGGGAGAAAAUGGAGAUUUGGCUGCUAGGCUGCUCUUGAUAGAAGUGAGGUGCAAAUUGCAGAUGCCCUACCACACUGUUGGUCUUGAGGAAAUUAUUAGAUGAGAGGAACCCUGAGUUUCUGGUGUUUUCCCUGAUUCAGUUUAAGAGCGCAGUGUCCUGGGUUCCCACUACCUUACAUCUAGAAAGAUACACUCUUGCCUUAUUGUUAGAGAGAUACACUCUUGCCUUAUUGUUGACGACCACAUAAAAGUGAGAGUAGACAGCAGGGAAGAUGUUCAGCCCAGCUUCUUUCAAAGCCAGAAUGAAGGGUAUUGGAGUCAUCCAUUUUCCUAUUACCCGAAGCUCACGGCUCUUGCCCUUCAGUUUCACUGCAGCCAACAUGCAGUGGGUUUCCUGAAUUUCAAGAAGGGAAAGGAAACUAUUACUCCAGGUCUAGUCUUUGAAAUCAUAGGCUACUCUAUACUAAAUAACGCGUCUGGUAUGUCUUGGGCCUGAUCUGGAAGCCUGCCAUAGGACCACUGCCUAGGAAGCUCACUAACUUCCUAGGCUCCCGCUGGGUAUCCCGAGGGAUCGAAAAUGGUGUCUCAGAUCUCUCUAUUUUAUAAGAUGUGCAAGCACUCUGUUCAUUCUGAAUUAAAACAGCCAUUGAGACAACCAUGAUUA